RNAcentral lists this long non-coding RNA (1546 nucleotides) under Macaca fascicularis (crab-eating macaque). RNAcentral describes it as "lncRNA (ENSMFAG00000057372.1)". The stretch from base 1166 to 1274 matches the Rfam family "Small nucleolar RNA U13". Lineage: Eukaryota; Metazoa; Chordata; Mammalia; Primates; Cercopithecidae. The record is from RNAcentral.
GGCUCUAGGGCAGAACUUUAUGGCCAAAUUUUAUGUCCUGGAUUUCCACUUGAGCAUUGAGAAUUCUGGGUUUGGAAAUUUGAUGGAGACAGAAGAAAUCCCAUCCUUACUUCAGGCACUUACUGAACCUAGUGUGUGUGGAAGGAAGAGGGGAUGCACUUAGAAUGGGCAUAGGAUAUAAGAGAAUAAUGAUAAAGAAUAUUUAUAAUCAGAAUUUCUCACACUCAGGACGAGAAAGGAGAAUCUCUAACAGAGUCACAGCAUGAUUAUUUCAGCUUUUUCCUGUUUCCUUCCUUUGUACUUUGGGUCCUUCUUUCCUUUCUAGCAUUCCCUCUUCUUUCAUCAGAUACACACUGUGGCAGACUUAAGCCCCAAACCACAGCCUUGACAAAUUCCAAAUGGAUUUUGUCAGCAAGGCCAACACACUCCUUCGCCACUUCCUAGCCCUGCUCCUAGCACAUGCGCUGGGCUCAGACCCAGGCCUGGGGUCAGUGACAGGGUUGGAGUAUGCAACCCACAGAGUUGGUGGCUACAAUUUCAGCUUUUACUAAGCUCCAAUGGCAGCCAGAGGGAGGGAGAAAGGUUGAUGAACUGUAAGGCGGGCCUCUUGUCCCUCUUCAGCUCUAGAUGAGUUCUACUCCUGCUGGCCUUUACCAAGUGGUUGGGAAGUUGCGGGGGGCAGUGGCCAGCUAAUUGCCAGCUGGGCAGCACUCCUCCUAUCUCUGCUCCUGUUUGCUCCAUGGGCAGCCCACUCUGAUGCUGCAACAGACACUUUCUUCUUCAGACCCCAGACAGGUGAAGGACAGAAGUGCUGGGAGAUUCUCUAGUUCCAUUAAUCAAUCCUGACUAACAUACCAUGGUACCUGCUGCUUACUACAUUAGACUGUCACCAUUUCCAUCCUUCUGUUGCACUGGGGAUACAACCUUGAGAAGAUCUGAAGCACUGGGCAGGAAUAUCAACAGGUUCCACCUCCUUGUCCGAGUUCCACAAGGCAUGUGCAUGUGGUAAGGGCACUAGGGAGGUUUUAUAAAGCAUAGUUUUGGUGGACAGUGUGGUGGGAUAACCUGGUGGAGUGCUACUAGAAAUUUCUAGAGAAAGAAAUGCAAGAGUAAUCACAUGGAAAUACCAAAAGACCCACUCUAGGAGUAAUAAUACUGGAGGAAGAUCCUUUUGUAGUUCAUAAGCAUAAUGACUGGGUGUUCACACACACGUGAGAUGUCCCACCCUCAAACCUUGUUACAUUGGCCGGGCGCGGUGGCUCAAGCCUGUAAUCCCAGCACUUUGGGAGGCCGAGGCGGGUGGAUCAUGAGGUCAGGAGAUCGAGACUAUCCUGGCUAACAUGGUGAAACCCCGUCUCUACUAAAAAUACAAAAAACUAGCCGGGCGAGGGUGGCUCUGUAGUCCCAACUACUUGGGAGGCUGAGGCGGGAGAAUGGCGUGAACCCGGGAGGCGGAGCUUGCAGUGAGCCGAGAUCACGCCACUGCACUCCAGCCUGGGAGACACAGCCAGACUCCGUCUCAAAAAAAAAAAAAAAAAAAAAAAAA